CCACUCCUGGAAAACUUUUCUGCGUUCCUCCAGCAUUUAGCCAAGCUGUCUGAGAUAGAGAAGUCUGAGACAUAGACUGGAUGAGGAAUUUCUAACUCAGUGUGAGAUGCACUGUCUCAAACACAAUCAGUAUUUCCUGUACAUCAUCACUGUCUACCAGGCACCACUGGAAAGAGAUGCUCCUUUUUGUUAUCUGAAAAUGUUAUCUGAAAAUGCACAUCUUUAUCCUGACAUAAACAUUCCAGAUUUUACAAUAAAGGAAAUGAAAAUACAUAGAGAGAUCAGAGCUACUAUCUCAUGCAGAUGAGAUGGCCUUCAGGACCUCGAGGUUUUCUUCUCAGAAUAUUUAUCUUAUAUCGACUUAAAGUACCGGACAAGAAUUAACAUUCUUAACACUGUUGAUGGAUUCGGACCUCAAUCUCAACCUGAGGUAACAGCUUGUAGCCUGGGGUGAAAGAUGCCCUGAGGAAAACAGUUGGCAAAAAGCUUUUUUGAUGUUUAAUCAAGACACAUCCUUUGUCUUCCGUGAGCUACGUAAAUUCUGGUAGAACACGUACAGCCACGAUUCCGUGCAUAAAUGCAAAAGUGAAUUAAUUGUAUGCCUUACAAUAAGCAUCUUUGUAAACCAGGGUUUUCCUAAGAGAAAUGCAACCAAGGAAAGGGGAUGUACUGCUGAGCAACAGAGUCAGAAUACACAGUGAGCAGCUUGUGAGAAUAUUUUCUCUCUUGCUCUCCUGAGCGUGUCCUUGACAUCCUUAUUUCUCAAGCUGUAGAUCAGAGGGUUGAGCAUAGGAACAAGCAAGGUGUAAAACACUGCCGUGAUCUUCUCUAUGUCCAGUGAGUACUUGGAGCCUGGCUGCAUGUGGCUGAGGCCAGCAGGCACGUAGAACAAGGUGACAGUCAGCAGGUGGGAGGCACAAGUGGAGAAAGCUUUGUGUCGUCCCCUGGCAGACCUGAUGCUCAGGAUGGAGAUGAGGAUGUACACAUACGAGAUGAUGAUGAUCAGGAGCACAGUCAUGGAAAUGGUCCCAUUGAAGGUGACGAGCAGAAGCUCAUUGAGGUGGCCGUCAGAACAGGUGAGCUUCAGCAGGGGAUUGGUGUCACAGAAGUAAUGGUUGAUGAUAUUGGGGCCACAGAAAGGCAAGGACAGCAAGCAGCACGUCUGGAUUAGUGAGUUCAGAAUGCCCCCCAGGUACGAGCCAGCCACCAGCUUCAUGCAGAGACUCUUGGGCAUGGAAAUAAUGUAGAGCAAGGGGUUGCAAAUAGCUACAUAGCGGUCGUAUGCCAUCACGGCCAGCAAGAACACCUCUGUGGUCACAAACACAAGGAAAAAGAAAUGCUGGGUGAAGCAGGCAGAGUAGGAAAUGGUUUUAUUAUCCAGCAAGAAACCAAUAAGCAGCCUUGGAGAAAAGACAGAGGAGUAGCAAAGAUCAACAACAGAUAGAUUGCAAAGAAAGAAGUACAUGGGAGUGUGCAGCUGGGGGCUUGUCAUGAUCAGCGUGAUCAGCCCAACAUUGCCCAGCAUAGUGAUGAAAUAAAUCACUGAGAACACUAUGAAGAGAGGAGUCU
RNAcentral lists this long non-coding RNA (1569 nucleotides) under Chrysolophus pictus (golden pheasant). RNAcentral's name for it is "lncRNA (ENSCPIG00010006440.1)". The record is from RNAcentral. Lineage: Eukaryota; Metazoa; Chordata; Aves; Galliformes; Phasianidae.